This 449-nucleotide ribosomal RNA is filed under the name uncultured bacterium. Its description in RNAcentral is "partial 16S ribosomal RNA". It matches the Rfam family "Bacterial small subunit ribosomal RNA", at positions 29 to 523 of the family's 1533-position model. The record is from RNAcentral.
AAUGAACGCUGGCGGCAUGCCUAACAUAUGCAAGUCGAACGAAGCCUUCGGGCUUAGUGGCGCACGGGUGCGUAACGCGUGGGAAUCUGCCCUUGGGUUCGGAAUAACUCUCCGACAAGAGUGCUAAUACCGGAUGAUGUCGAAAGACCAAAGAUUUAUCGCCCAGGGAUGAGCCCGCGUAGGAUUAGCUAGUUGGUGAGGUAAAAGCUCACCAAGGCGACGAUCCUUAGCUGGUCUGAGAGGAUGAUCAGCCACACUGGGACUGAGACACGGCCCAGACUCCUACGGGAGGCAGCAGUGGGGAAUAUUGGACAAUGGGCGAAAGCCUGAUCCAGCAAUGCCGCGUGAGUGAUGAAGGCCUUAGGGUUGUAAAGCUCUUUUACCCGGGAUGAUAAUGACAGUACCGGGAGAAUAAGCCCCGGCUAACUCCGUGCCAGCCGCCGCGGUAA